UGCAGUCGAGCGGUAGAGAGAAGCUUGCUUCUCUUGAGAGCGGCGGACGGGUGAGUAAUGCCUAGGAAUCUGCCUGGUAGUGGGGGAUAACGUUCGGAAACGGACGCUAAUACCGCAUACGUCCUACGGGAGAAAGCAGGGGACCUUCGGGCCUUGCGCUAUCAGAUGAGCCUAGGUCGGAUUAGCUAGUUGGUGGGGUAAUGGCUCACCAAGGCGACGAUCCGUAACUGGUCUGAGAGGAUGAUCAGUCACACUGGAACUGAGACACGGUCCAGACUCCUACGGGAGGCAGCAGUGGGGAAUAUUGGACAAUGGGCGAAAGCCUGAUCCAGCCAUGCCGCGUGUGUGAAGAAGGUCUUCGGAUUGUAAAGCACUUUAAGUUGGGAGGAAGGGCAGUAAAUUAAUACUUUGCUGUUUUGACGUUACCGACAGAAUAAGCACCGGCUAACUCUGUGCCAGCAGCCGCGGUAAUACAGAGGGUGCAAGCGUUAAUCGGAAUUACUGGGCGUAAAGCGCGCGUAGGUGGUUAGUUAAGUUGGAUGUGAAAUCCCCGGGCUCAACCUGGGAACUGCAUUCAAAACUGACUGACUAGAGUAUGGUAGAGGGUGGUGGAAUUUCCUGUGUAGCGG
Molecule: ribosomal RNA, 629 nt
Filed under: Pseudomonas sp. Zn5
Lineage: Bacteria; Pseudomonadati; Pseudomonadota; Gammaproteobacteria; Pseudomonadales; Pseudomonadaceae
Description: bacterial SSU rRNA
Rfam family: Bacterial small subunit ribosomal RNA
Source: RNAcentral